RNAcentral lists this ribosomal RNA (497 nucleotides) under uncultured bacterium. Its description in RNAcentral is "partial 16S ribosomal RNA". It matches the Rfam family "Bacterial small subunit ribosomal RNA", at positions 28 to 507 of the family's 1533-position model. The record is from RNAcentral.
GAUGAACGCUGGCGGCGUGCCUAAUACAUGCAAGUCGAGCGAACAGACGAGGAGCUUGCUCCUCUGACGUUAGCGGCGGACGGGUGAGUAACACGUGGAUAACCUACCUAUAAGACUGGGAUAACUUCGGGAAACCGGAGCUAAUACCGUAUAACAUGUUGAACCGCAUGGUUCAGCAGUGAAAGACGGUCUUGCUGUCACUUAUAGAUGGAUCCGCGCCGCAUUAGCUAGUUGGUAAGGUAACGGCUUACCAAGGCAACGAUGCGUAGCCGACCUGAGAGGGUGAUCGGCCACACUGGAACUGAGACACGGUCCAGACUCCUACGGGAGGCAGCAGUAGGGAAUCUUCCGCAAUGGGCGAAAGCCUGACGGAGCAACGCCGCGUGAGUGAAGAAGGUCUUCGGAUCGUAAAACUCUGUUAUUAGGGAAGAACAAAUGUGUAAGUAACUAUGCACGUCUUGACGGUACCUAAUCAGAAAGCCACGGCUAACUACGUG